UGAAUACGAGAUGCUACGGCAUUGAAGCAGUGUAUGUCAGACUUCCAAGAAAAGCUCGCAAUGUCAUAAAUAGAUAAUGCCUGUACCAUAACCGACACAGGUGGGUAGGUAGAGUAUACUAAGGGGCGCGAGAUAACUCUCUCUAAGGAACUCGGCAAAAUGACUCCGUAACUUCGGGAGAAGGAGUGCCUUAUUUAUAAGGUUGCAAUAACAAGAUCCAAGCAACUGUUUACCAAAAACACAGGUCUCCGCUAAGUCGUAAGACGAUGUAUGGGGGCUGACGCCUGCCCAGUGCCAGAAGGUUAAAGAAGUUGGUUAGCACUCGCGAAGCUGAUAACUGAAGCCCUGGUGAACGGCGGCCGUAACGAUAACGGUCCUAAGGUAGCGAAAUUCCUUGUCGGGUAAGUUCCGACCCGCACGAAAGGCGUAAUGAUUUGGAUACUGUCUCGGAGAGGGGCUCGGUGAAAUAGACUUGUCUGUGAAGAUGCGGACUACCUGCACCUGGACAGAAAGACCCUAUGAAGCUUUACUGUAACUUGAAAUUGAAAUUGGACUUUAUUUGCGCAGUAUAGGUGGGAGGCGUUGAGUUUAUUCUUGCGGGAAUUUAGGAGCCAUCAGUGAGAUACCACUCUGGUAAUGUUAGAUUUCUAACUUUGUAUCAUAAUCUGGUCAAGGAACAGUUUCAGGCGGGCAGUUUGACUGGGGCGGUCGCCUCCCAAAUGGUAACGGAGGCGUACAAAGGUUUCCUCUGAACGUGUAGAAAUCGUAUCUAGAGUGUAAAGGCAUAAGGAAGCUUGACUGUGAGACUUACAAGUCGAGCAGGGACGAAAGUCGGUCUUAGUGAUCUGACGGUGCUGAGUGGAAAGGCCGUCACUCAACGGAUAAAAGUUACUCUAAGGAUAACAGGCUGAUCUCCCCCAAGAGAUCACAUCGACGGGGAGGUUUGGCACCUCGAUGUCGGCUCAUCGCAUCCUGGGGCGGUAGUACGUCCCAAGGGUUGGGCUGUUCGCCCAUGAAAGCGGUACGCGAGCUGGGUUCAGAACGUCGUGAGACAGUUCGGUCCAUAUCCGGUGUAGGCGUUAGAAUAUUGAGAGGAGCCUUCUUUAGUACGAGAGGACCGAGAAGGACAUACCUCUGGUGUACCAGUUAUCAUGCCAAUGGUAAACGCUGGGUAGCUAUGUAUGGAGAGGAUAACCGCUGAAAGCAUCUAAGUGGGAAGCCCACCUCAAGAUAAG
This 1235-nucleotide ribosomal RNA is filed under the name metagenome. RNAcentral describes it as "bacterial LSU rRNA". It matches the Rfam family "Bacterial large subunit ribosomal RNA", at positions 1564 to 2808 of the family's 2925-position model. The record is from RNAcentral.